Molecule: long non-coding RNA, 2877 nt
Organism: Oreochromis niloticus (Nile tilapia)
Lineage: Eukaryota; Metazoa; Chordata; Actinopteri; Cichliformes; Cichlidae
Product: nuclear factor 7, brain
Exons: 2
Source: RefSeq, a predicted model, not a curated record
UGCCCAUUUUAUUUCGAAUCUGGCGCAAACCGGCGAGACAGUUCCUGAAUCAGUCACAUGGUACGGACUGCCCGCGAGGCCUCGAACGUCACUGCAUACGUAAUCAAAGCGAGCCUCGAUACGCGCUUCACAAAAACACCCCCGACAUUACCCGACACACGAUUCGACGCUUCAACACACAGGACACAUCACUACUGAUCGUGUAUGCCCGCGGGGGUCAGUGUUGACGGUUGCUUCUGUUAUUGUCCUGCAGGUGGAACGAGGGACCAGAAGGACAGCACGCACAGGGUGUGAAGGAACUUGACAGCGGGGAGCACGAGCGCGGACGUCGGAGGGGAACACACACACGGGAGUCUAGGGAGCAAAGGGGAUUUUGUGUGCAUCUGUUAUUUACCUCACUUUAAACAAACGCACUGUUUUCACUAAAGAGUCCAGCUUUCGGGUCCUCCUUCCCCACAUCCCGUGACAUUAGCAGCAUAUUAGUCAGCUUAGAACACGCAGGUUCUAAGGGAUUCAGGGAUUUAAAAAUAGAUACGCAAAAUGGGGCGUGCCCGUUCCGGCCGGCUUUAAAGGGUUAAAGUGAAACGGCAACAUUUUACUCCUCCCCUCACGUCACUCAAAUGCAACAAAGCAGGAAACAUGAUGUUUUUCUUCCUCAGUAGGGAGGAAGAAAAACGCACAGAGAGAUGCACAGACGAUCAGACUGAGUUCAGACCAAACUAGCAGCUUCCUCUGAGUGAGUCCAGCUACAGGAGAGAAAAGUGGAAAACUCCAACACUGCUGCUUCAAGCUGCUGACGCUCCACACACUGAAUCUUCACUCACAGACUCAAUGGCUUCCAGAUCAGAGGAGGAUCUCUGCUGUACAGUCUGUAUGGAGGUCUUCAGAGAUCCUGUUAUUCUGUCAUGUAGCCACAGCUUCUGUAAAGACUGUCUGAAGAGAUGGUGGAAAGAGAGACCAACACACGAGUGUCCACUUUGUAAGAGAAGAUCUUCAAAGAAGCAUCCACCUUCAAACAAGGCUUUAAAGAACUUGUGUGAGUCGUUCUUACAGGAAAGAUAUCAGAGAGCUUCAGAGGCUCUCUGCAGUCUGCACUCUGAGAAACUCAAACUCUUCUGUCUGGACCAUCAGCAGCCAGUGUGUGUCGUCUGCAGAGACUCAGAAAAUCACACCAAUCACAGAUUCAGACCCAUCGAUGAAGUUGCACAACAACACAAGAAACUUCAGGAAACUCUGGAGCCCUUAAAGAAGAAGUUAAAGGUUUGCAAACGAGUUCAAGUGAAGUUUGGUCAAACAGCAGAACACAUUAAGGUCCAGGCCCGACACACAGAGAGGCAGAUUAAGGAGCAGUUUAAGAAGCUUCACCAGUUUCUAGCAGAGGAAGAGGAGGCCAGGCUGGCUGCACUGAGGGAGGAAGAGGAGCAGAAGAGUGGGAUGAUGAAGGAGAAGAUGGAGGCUCUGAGCAGAGAGAUAGCAGCUCUUUCAGACACAGUCAGAGCCACAGAGGAGGAGCUGAGAGCUGAAGACGUCUCAUUCCUGCACAACUACAAGGCUGCAGUGGAAAGAGUCCAGCGCUGCCCCCUGCUGGAUGAUCCACAGCUGCCCUCAGGAGCUCUGAUAGACCAGGCCAAACACCUGGGCAACCUGACCUUCAACAUCUGGAACAACAUGAAGGACAUGGUCUCCUACACUCCUCUCAUUCUGGACCCAAACACUGCUGAUCCAGACCUCAUCCUGUCUGAAGAUCUGACCAGUGUGAGAGGAGGAGAGAGGCAGCAGCUUCCUGAUAAUCCAGAGAGGUUUGAUCAUUCCUGCUCUGUCCUGGGCUCUGAGGGCUUUAACUCAGGGACUCACAGCUGGGAUGUUGAUGUUGGAGACAGUACACCAUGGGGACUGGGUGUGUUAGCAGAGUCUGUGCAGAGGAAGGGAGAGAUAUGGUCUGGAUUAUGGAAAAUAUGGUUUGAUGAAGGUGAAUACUCAGCAUGGUCACCACCAGGUCCUCUCACUGAUCUCUCAUUCCAGAAGAAGCUCCAGAGGAUCAGAGUGAAUCUGGACUGGAACAGAGGAAAGCUGUCGUUCUCUGAUCCUGAUACUAACACACACAUACACACCUUCACACACACUUUCACUCAAAGGAUGUUUCCAUACAUUAGCACUGUUGAUGAAGUGAAGGUGUUGCCCAUGAAGGUGUCAGUGUCAGUGGAGCAGAUGAGUUGAGGAUGAUGAUAUUUCUAAUGUUGUUUCCUGUCAGUGAAUUGAAGCUGUUAAACUGCAGCUGUCCUCCUGCUGCCUCGUUGUUCCAAAGCUCUUUGUUUCUCUUUUAGUUCUCACUGUUUCUUUCUGUUUCUGCUGUCCACCUUUUCACAUGGAAAAUCAUUUCACUGUUUCUCACUGAAUGACUCCCCAAACUAGAUCUGAAAUUCUAUCAAGUUUCUAAUCAUUACAAGUGAUUCAUGUUUCUAUUUGAUGUGUGUAAAUGGAGAUGAGUUAGUUUGCUGGGAUAUGGACUGACAUGUGUUGAAUGGGAGGAGCAGUUUGUUGUUGUCUUCUUGUCUGUUUAUGACAACAAUAAAUAUGUUGUUGAAACAAUGAUUCAUGUUUAACUCCAUAUAUGAAAUGUUUCUGAUAUUUGAAUUCUGUUUGAUUAAAGACUUUCUUCAUGACACAAAUGAGAUUUCAGUGUAUUAAUAGAACUAAAUAAGCUCAGAGUUGAAAGGCUGGAGUAUUAUGUACGUGCUUCACUGUCAGUAUCUUCAGGGGGAUUCAAAGGGAAACAUCAAACUGCUGUAAUGAGAUAAACUAGUUGGGCUGAACACACUUAUCUGUAGUUUGUCUCCAUCCAGGAUCAUCAGAAUAUAAUGAACAUGUGUGAAGAGC